AAGACUCGAUCCAAGUCACUCAGACUUCUUCCUCCAAUAGAACUGAAUGACAUGUGUGGCCGUGAUGUCACAUGACCACAAGAUUUUCUUAUUCAACGUCAAAGUGUGAGAGAGGGAGUGAAGAAAAGAGCUGGAAUACUGACGUCUGGAUCACUGAAGGAUUGCAGCAGAAGUGUUUGGUGAGGAACAGAGGAACACACACAGAUAAGAUGAGUGUAAACGGCGUCAGAGAUCAUGAGAAAGUGUUGACGCUGGACACUAUGAAUCCUCAAGUUAAAUGUGUGGAGUACGCUGUGAGGGGUCCAAUCGUCCAGAGAGCCGUUCAGAUCGAGAAAGAGCUCAAGACUGGAAUAAAGAAGCCCUUCACAGAGGUGAUUAAAGCAAACAUCGGUGACUGUCAAGCCAUGGGCCAGAGACCUAUAACCUUCUUCAGACAGGUUUUGGCGCUCUGCUCUUACCCUGAUCUGUUUGAAGACAGCAAAUUUCCAGAAGAUGCCAAAGCUCGAGCGCUACGCAUUCUACAAGCGUGUGGAGGAGGAAGUCUUGGUGCUUACAGUGCCAGUCAGGGAAUUGAAAUGAUACGACAAGACGUGGCUCAAUACAUUGAACGCAGAGACGAAGGAACUAAAUGUGACCCUGAAAACAUUUACCUCUCCACAGGAGCCAGUAAUGCCAUUGUGACGAUGCUGAAGUUGCUGGUGUCAGGUGAAGGAGCAUGUCGUACAGGAGUGAUGAUCUCAAUCCCUCAGUAUCCGCUGUAUUCGGCUGCUCUGGCGGAGUUGGGUGCGGUACAGAUCAGUUAUUAUCUGGAUGAAGACCACUGCUGGAGUCUGAAUGUCAAUGAGUUACGUCGCGCCCUGCAGGAAGCAAAGAGUCACUGCAGUCCACGAGCGUUGUGCAUCAUCAACCCCGGCAACCCUACAGGUCAGGUGCAAAGCCGUCAGUGUAUUGAGGACGUGAUCCGAUUCGCUGCAGAAGAGAAACUUUUCCUCAUGGCUGAUGAGGUCUAUCAGGAUAAUGUUUACGCAGACGGGUGCAAGUUUCACUCCUUUAAGAAGGUUCUGUUUGAAAUGGGCCCACGGUACUCAGAGAAAGUUGAGCUGGCUUCAUUUCAUUCCACCUCCAAGUGUUACAUGGGAGAAUGUGGUUUUCGUGGUGGUUAUAUGGAGGUGGUAAAUCUGGACCCUGAUGUGAAAGCUCAGCUCACUAAACUGGUGUCAGUGCGUUUGUGUCCUCCAGUGCCUGGACAAGCUCUUCUGGAUGUAGUGGUCAAUCCACCCCAACCUCAUGAACCCUCCUAUAGCACAUUCAUCAAGGAACGAUCAGACACGUUGUCUGCGCUGGCAGAGAAAGCCAACAUGACACAAGAGAUCCUGAACCAGAUUCCAGGUAUACAGUGUAAUCCAGUGCAAGGGGCCAUGUACACGUUCCCUCGAAUCCACCUGCCACCCAAAGCCAUUCAAGAGGCCAAAAUCGCAACCAGGUUAUAAAUACUGCUUCAAAAUGCCAAAACAAGAAACGGAGAGGAGGCAACUUCCAGAAAACUUAAUUUAAACUCAACAGGCUGUUCAGCAGCAGAUCAAAGACCAUAGCCCCAAAAAACUGAGUUCCCACAACAGAACUAAAAGUGUCAAAACGGGACUCAGUAGUGUGUAGCCCCAGCAUUCUUUUUGAUCACAACACUCUUUUCGGCAUGGUUGAGACCACUGUUUCCAGCAGGCUGGUGGCAACAUUCCUCCAUGUGGUGAAGAUGGCUUCAUGAAUGGCAUCCAUGUUCUGGAACUGGCGUCCUUUUUUGUAAACAUCCCUUGCCAUCCGUCCCCAAACCAUCUCAAUGGGAUUUAGAUCAGGGGAACAAAAGAGGUACGUUACUCUCCUGAAAGAAGUCCUUUCUCAGUUGUGAACGCAGUGUUGUUCUUUUGAAAGACCCAGUCAUCACUGCACAGACGAGGGCCCUCACUCACCCCAGAUCAUGGGGUGAGUGCCCAGAUCAAGGGGCACCCCAGAUCAUGACGGAGCCUCUAACACUGUGCUGCAUAGAAAACACCUCCAGUGGGAUCUCCUUGUCAUGCCAAUCACAUUGGAAGCCAUCAGGACCGGCCAGGUUAACUCUUUCACCGCCAUUGACGAGUUAUCUCGUCAUUUUAAAAAAACGCUUCCCCGCCAAAGACGAGUUUUUACCGCAAUCAGUGUUUGUACUGUUUUACAGCAGGUGGCGCUAUUGCACACCUUUGGGAAAAUGUACAGAAUCCAAGAACCUAGAACGUUUUUUUAAAAGCUGAGACUCUGUUCUUUCAUUUGAUAUAUUGUUUGUCCAUAUAUUCUUUACAGAAAAUUUACUGUGAGCCCUUAAAGUGGGGUGAAAAUGUUAAAAAAACGCUGGCGUAGGCUGGCAACUUUUUUUUAAAGAGGCUGGCGGCGAAUGAGUUAAAACAAUUCUCAUCAGAGAGUCGUGGCUUUAGAAGAGUUUUUUUGCUCUCUCUCAGAUGUCGUCAUAUGGUUAUUGGGCUGCAGUCAGCUUCAGCACGGGCCUUCAUUUGGGUUGAGGAAUCGCCCUGUGUCUUCACAGACAGUCCAUCAGAUUCUCCGGCUCAGUGCAGGAGAAGGCUGAAGCUCCAGAUAUGUUUUAUUGUAUGAAGCUGUUGGAGGAGACGGGCAUCUGUUUGGUUCCUGGCAGUGGCUUCGGUCAGCGAGAGGGAUCCUACCACUUCAGAAUGACGAUUCUUCC
This is an RNA transcript of Triplophysa dalaica, 2728 nucleotides long. It is a transcript of the gene named alanine aminotransferase 2-like, with no coding region annotated. The transcript is spliced from 13 exons. The record is from RefSeq and is a predicted model, not a curated record. Lineage: Eukaryota; Metazoa; Chordata; Actinopteri; Cypriniformes; Nemacheilidae.